UACUGCGGCACCGAGUGAGACGCCGCCGGAUCCGACGGAGGAGGAGCACCAUCGGUUAUACGUCGCGGUCGCUCAUUUCGUCGUUAACGGUAGGUGUAGGUAAUAGAGACAAAACA
Long non-coding RNA from Ipomoea nil (Japanese morning glory), 116 nucleotides. RefSeq lists it as uncharacterized. The record is from RefSeq and is a predicted model, not a curated record. The transcript is spliced from 3 exons. NCBI's taxonomy places the organism in Eukaryota, Viridiplantae, Streptophyta, Magnoliopsida, Solanales, Convolvulaceae.